Molecule: long non-coding RNA, 760 nt
Organism: Calypte anna (Anna's hummingbird)
Lineage: Eukaryota; Metazoa; Chordata; Aves; Apodiformes; Trochilidae
Exons: 4
Source: RefSeq, a predicted model, not a curated record
CUGCAGGAUCCCCGCGCUCACGAUGUUGAUGAUGCCCUCGGGGUAGCAGCCGGCGCCGGGGUACUGCGGGUCGAUGGAGAAUUUGCCCAUUUACGGAUGGAAAGAGACGCCGAGAAGACCGAGCGCGUCGCUGCUUUUUUUGGAAAAUGUCUGAUCUAUAUAUACCGUCGCUAAAGCUGGAACCGCCUGCUCCGCCGUCGAUACCCAGUGCCUGCUGAUGACACUAAAUCAUGCUGCACACAGGAGAAGGAAGAAUCAAGGUUUCACAUCCCACCCAUGUCUCAGUUCUACCUUUGAACUCACUUGAUGUUCUUGCUGUAGUGCUUCAUAUGUGCUUUGCGCCUUUGAUCCCUGUAUGGCUGAUUAUCCCAGACUCCGAGGAUAGAUUGUCCAACUCAGACUGACGUCAAUGAGCCUUACACGCAAAAAAUCCUGCUGAUUCCUGUGGUUCCUAUAAACCACGUGGUUUCAUAUGAUGGACAGAUUGCUCGUGUGAAUUGCUGAAGCCCCACUGACACCAAGCAGAGCUGCACCUCAUACACACAUGAUCUGUCUGGCUGGCUAUAACACUGAUAGAGGGGGGUUCAGAGCUGAAGGGUGGAACAUCUCUUGGGUAUUCCAAAUUUCUUGAAACUGACUCCCUAUGGACUUAUUAUAUUCACUCUAAUCAAGGUGCUAGCUGAUGGUGCACUGGGUAUAUUUUUCUGCAGUCAAUUUUGUACAAGUACUUGAGAUAGGAGUUUUAGAAAUAAAAUUGUCC